GGCUGGAACCAGAGAGUUCAUGGCUAGCAGAGGAACUAACGAGAGAUAAAUUAUGGUUAGUUGCAGAAGACCCCACGGGUGCUGCAAGAGACCAGCUGGAACGGCUCGAGGACCGCCCGGGUCAGAGAGUACUUGGGCAGUGUGGAGCUGCUGAGAUGAAAGUAUCCCACAGUGCCAUGGGCCUAUGGGUGCCAGCGCUAGCCCAGGAUAAAAAGCUUCCUUGUGCCGGUUUGUCAAACCUGGUCUGUGGUUUCCACUGGAACUGGAGAUGAGUUUGCCUCCUUGAUGGACUCCAAACCCUUCAACACCUGGUGGCCUGACUUCACUUUCAACCUGUGCCAGCAGGCAGCAGGACUUGACUGCUGGGACAUCCCCACCCAUGAUGGGAGCACUGGCGGAAGCAAACUGCACAUAUGGGAGAAAGAGGGCUCUGGGCUGGGGUUAGGGGGUGGGCUGUAGGAUGUGCAUUCCCUGCACAGAUAUCGCCUGCAGGAGACCCCACUUAAGUUUGCCCUCGAGAUGGAAGAAGCCGGGCAGAAGUUCACCGAUGUGGGGGUCCAGACUAGUUUUAUUGACCAGCCUGGGAAUGCCACACUACAGGAGACACCUACUGGAACCCCUCCUCUUCUUGGGACUUGAUCAUGGAAAAAAAUUAUACUAUAGGGGGACCCUAUCUGGGGGACCAAGGGUAUUGGGAUACUCCCUGGGCAAACACCACCUGUAACCCAAUAAU
RNAcentral lists this long non-coding RNA (733 nucleotides) under Rattus norvegicus (Norway rat). RNAcentral describes it as "long non-coding RNA NONRATT026889". The record is from RNAcentral. Lineage: Eukaryota; Metazoa; Chordata; Mammalia; Rodentia; Muridae.